GAGAUUCGAAAGCGUGGGAGCAAACAGGAUUAGAUACCCUGGUAGUCCACGCCCUAAACGAUGCACACUAGUUGUUGUGAGGCUAGACCUUGCAGUAAUGCAGUUAACACAUUAAGUGUGCCGCCUGGGGAGUACGGUCGCAAGAUUAAAACUCAAAGGAAUAGACGGGGACCCGCACAAGCGGUGGAGCAUGUGGUUUAAUUCGACGAUACGCGAAGAACCUUACCUGGACUUGACAUAGAUAGAAUAUAACAGAGAUGUAUUAGUGCUUGCUUGCAAGAGCUAUCAUACAGGUGCUGCACGGCUGUCGUCAGCUCGUGUCGUGAGAUGUUGGGUUAAGUCCCGCAACGAGCGCAACCCUCGUCAUUAGUUGCUAACAGUUCGGCUGAGAACUCUAAUGAGACUGCCUGGGUAACCAGGAGGAAGGUGAGGACGACGUCAAGUCAUCAUGGCCCUUACGUCCAGGGCUACACACGUGCUACAAUGGGGUAUACAAAGAGCCGCGAUACUGUGAAGUGGAGCAAAUCUCAAAAAUAUCUCCCAGUUCGGAUAGCAGUCUGCAACUCGACUGCUUGAAGUUGGAAUCGCUAGUAAUCGUAGAUCAGCAAUGCUACGGUGAAUACGUUCCCGGGUCUUGUACUCACCGCCCGUCACACCAUGGGAAUUGAAUUCAUUCGAAGCGGGGAUGCUAAAAUAGCUACCUUCCACAGUGGAUUUAGUAACUAGGGUGAAGUCGUAACAAGGUAACC
This 749-nucleotide ribosomal RNA is filed under the name uncultured bacterium. RNAcentral's name for it is "bacterial SSU rRNA". It matches the Rfam family "Bacterial small subunit ribosomal RNA", at positions 748 to 1501 of the family's 1533-position model. The record is from RNAcentral.